UGUCGCCACCUUGUGUAUUGGCGUAACCUCCUGUGUUGGCUACACAUUCCUUUCAAGUCAUUUGUAGCAGCAGUGUGCCACUAACCCCACUCAUUAAUCCAGGCAUUGCCAGAAGUUGCUUUUUCACAUUCUUACAUAAAAUUCAAACGAGAACCUUAGAGAUACAGUUUUUUAUCACGCCUGGACCUAGGUGCAGUAAAAGUUUCAGAGUCCAAGCAUUUCCUGGUGCAACAGGCAUUGCUGGUAAAACAACCUGGAUUCCUCCAGUUUCAGUCAAGGCUGCCCACUUCAGCAGUGCAUCAGGAUAGUCCAGGAGUGUAACCUGUGGUUGUGAAAGGGUCUUCAUAGUGCUGCUCUCUGUCUGCACCCUCCAGGGUUUGGUCCCAUAGAUGGCUUCCCCAUUGAUCUUCAUCCAGGCUCCAAGUCCCCUCAGCCGCUCCUCAAACACUGGAGCUAUCAUGCCAUCUGACAUCGGCCCGAUGUUCAGCAGCCCCAGGAGCGUUUGUCAAUGGACUGGCAUUUCUCCCACUUGUGGUCUGGUAGUCUACCAGGGCUGUCGUUGUAAAGCCAGGCUAAAAACUGGGUGGAGUUCCAGUAGGUGUCAGGUGCUUCCCAGUCUCCAUCAGACCAGAUAAGCUCUGGUUGGUACUGCAUCACAAGGUCUACUAACUCAGGAAGUGCCUUGAGAGCGACAAAAUCCUGAGUCUUGUAUCCAGAGGCUUUGUCUGCCAAGUAAAGGGGAUGGAACCAUUCAAAGAAAGAGUGGUAGAGGCCCCAAUGCAGUGACCUGAUGGAUGAGAACAAUGAGCAUGACAAAUAUAACUCAUUUAGGAUUAAGAGAAUGUCUUUCUGUACCCCUUACCACUUGCAGAGUUGAAUAAAUCUAUCAUUUACAGAAUUUGUUUUAUGGUUCCUCGCCAUAGACCUACUUCCCAUAUUUUGGUUAAACCACAAUCAUAUCAUUUAUUAUAAAAGGAAAAGGGAUGCAGACGCUGCAUCUAUCCUUACCUCUUCCUGACUGCUGCAGCCAGCUCUCCCACCAGGUCCCUGUGAGGACCCACAUCCAUCGAGUUCCAGUUCCAGGAGCACCACAACCACUCACUGAACUGCCCGUAGCCAGGGACCGAGAAGACCCCCCAGUGGACGAAUAUCCCGAGCUUCGCCUCGUCGAACCACGGGGGAAGGGGUCUAGCAUCCAGACUGGUCCAGUCCUCUGUGUAUCGAGCUGAACAUCCAGGUACAAACACGAGGAGGGAAAUCAAACAAAUAAAAUUUGCAAUGCUCGUAGGCUUUAGAGAAGUCAUGUUACCUUGUGGCCAGACUACAGUGUAGUCCUGUGUCUGCUAAACAGGUUGCUACCUGUCUACCUGUCUGUCAAUAUGUUCUAAAGGCACCUGAAUGCUGCUGUGGGAAGUGCAAUGUGGUCGCCUACUCGUGCUCCACUUCCUUCAUACAAAAACUGUCCCACAUGAAACUAUUUCUUUCAUUCUUUUUUUCCUUUAUUUUGCUUUUUUUCAAGUUGUUUUUAUUGACUAAUGGUUUAUUUUACUUCUACCUU
Long non-coding RNA from Notolabrus celidotus (New Zealand spotty), 1558 nucleotides. RefSeq lists it as uncharacterized. The record is from RefSeq and is a predicted model, not a curated record. The transcript has 6 exons. NCBI's taxonomy places the organism in Eukaryota, Metazoa, Chordata, Actinopteri, Labriformes, Labridae.